AUUGAACGCUGGCGGCAGGCCUAACACAUGCAAGUCGAACGGUAACAGGAAACAGCUUGCUGUUUCGCUGACGAGUGGCGGACGGGUGAGUAAUGUCUGGGAAACUGCCUGAUGGAGGGGGAUAACUACUGGAAACGGUAGCUAAUACCGCAUAACGUCGCAAGACCAAAGAGGGGGACCUUCGGGCCUCUUGCCAUCGGAUGUGCCCAGAUGGGAUUAGCUAGUAGGUGGGGUAACGGCUCACCUAGGCGACGAUCCCUAGCUGGUCUGAGAGGAUGACCAGCCACACUGGAAGUGAGACACGGUCCAGACUCUUACGGGAGGCAGCAGUGGGGAAUAUUGCACAAUGGGCGCAAGCCUGAUGCAGCCAUGCCGCGGGUAUGAAGAAGGCCUUCGGGUUGUAAAGUACUUUCAGCGGGGAGGAAGGGAGUAAAGUUAAUACCUGUACUCAUUGACGUUACCCGCAGAAGAAGCACCGGCUAACUCCGUG
RNAcentral lists this ribosomal RNA (490 nucleotides) under uncultured bacterium. RNAcentral describes it as "partial 16S ribosomal RNA". It matches the Rfam family "Bacterial small subunit ribosomal RNA", at positions 30 to 507 of the family's 1533-position model. The record is from RNAcentral.